UAAAGAGCUCCCGGUCGUAGGGGCGAGGU
This 29-nucleotide small RNA is filed under the name Bombyx mori (domestic silkworm). RNAcentral's name for it is "ovarian small RNA-5579". Lineage: Eukaryota; Metazoa; Arthropoda; Insecta; Lepidoptera; Bombycidae. The record is from RNAcentral.